GGGUCAGUAGGUUGGUCGUGCCACCGGUACGUACUGGUCUCACUGAUUCCUCCUUCCUGAAGAACCGUAAUGCCAUUAAUUUGGUGUUGCGGGGAAACAGGACUGUUACUUUGAAAAAAUUAGAGUGUUUAGAGCAAGCUGACGCUUGAAUACAUUAGCAUGGAAUAAUGGAAUAGGACGAUCGAUCCUAUUUUGUUGGUUUCUAGGAUUGACGUA
This 216-nucleotide ribosomal RNA is filed under the name Glomeromycotina sp. RNAcentral's name for it is "partial small subunit ribosomal RNA". The stretch from base 40 to 216 matches the Rfam family "Eukaryotic small subunit ribosomal RNA", at positions 686 to 864 of the family's 1831-position model. The record is from RNAcentral. Lineage: Eukaryota; Fungi; Glomeromycota.